This 2899-nucleotide ribosomal RNA is filed under the name Klebsiella pneumoniae. RNAcentral's name for it is "23S ribosomal RNA". It matches the Rfam family "Bacterial large subunit ribosomal RNA". Lineage: Bacteria; Pseudomonadati; Pseudomonadota; Gammaproteobacteria; Enterobacterales; Enterobacteriaceae. The record is from RNAcentral. RNAcentral also lists the same sequence under 1 other name.
UUAAGCGACUAAGCGUACACGGUGGAUGCCCUGGCAGUCAGAGGCGAUGAAGGACGUGCUAAUCUGCGAAAAGCGUCGGUAAGGUGAUAUGAACCGUUAUAACCGGCGAUGUCCGAAUGGGGAAACCCAGUGCAAUUCGUUGCACUAUCGUUAACUGAAUACAUAGGUUAACGAGGCGAACCGGGGGAACUGAAACAUCUAAGUACCCCGAGGAAAAGAAAUCAACCGAGAUUCCCCCAGUAGCGGCGAGCGAACGGGGAGCAGCCCAGAGUCUGAAUCAGCUUGUGUGUUAGUGGAACGGUCUGGAAAGUCCGACGGUACAGGGUGAUAGUCCCGUACACCAAAAUGCACAGGCUGUGAACUCGAAGAGUAGGGCGGGACACGUGGUAUCCUGUCUGAAUAUGGGGGGACCAUCCUCCAAGGCUAAAUACUCCUGACUGACCGAUAGUGAACCAGUACCGUGAGGGAAAGGCGAAAAGAACCCCGGCGAGGGGAGUGAAAAAGAACCUGAAACCGUGUACGUACAAGCAGUGGGAGCACCUUCGGGUGUGACUGCGUACCUUUUGUAUAAUGGGUCAGCGACUUAUAUUCUGUAGCAAGGUUAACCGUAUAGGGGAGCCGCAGGGAAACCGAGUCUUAACUGGGCGUUAAGUUGCAGGGUAUAGACCCGAAACCCGGUGAUCUAGCCAUGGGCAGGUUGAAGGUUGGGUAACACUAACUGGAGGACCGAACCGACUAAUGUUGAAAAAUUAGCGGAUGACUUGUGGCUGGGGGUGAAAGGCCAAUCAAACCGGGAGAUAGCUGGUUCUCCCCGAAAGCUAUUUAGGUAGCGCCUCGUGAAUUCAUCUUCGGGGGUAGAGCACUGUUUCGGCUAGGGGGUCAUCCCGACUUACCAACCCGAUGCAAACUACGAAUACCGAAGAAUGUUAUCACGGGAGACACACGGCGGGUGCUAACGUCCGUCGUGAAGAGGGAAACAACCCAGACCGCCAGCUAAGGUCCCAAAGUCAUGGUUAAGUGGGAAACGAUGUGGGAAGGCACAGACAGCCAGGAUGUUGGCUUAGAAGCAGCCAUCAUUUAAAGAAAGCGUAAUAGCUCACUGGUCGAGUCGGCCUGCGCGGAAGAUGUAACGGGGCUAAACCAUGCACCGAAGCUGCGGCAGCGACACUAUGUGUUGUUGGGUAGGGGAGCGUUCUGUAAGCCUGCGAAGGUGACCUGUGAGGGUUGCUGGAGGUAUCAGAAGUGCGAAUGCUGACAUAAGUAACGAUAAAGCGGGUGAAAAGCCCGCUCGCCGGAAGACCAAGGGUUCCUGUCCAACGUUAAUCGGGGCAGGGUGAGUCGACCCCUAAGGCGAGGCCGAAAGGCGUAGUCGAUGGGAAACAGGUUAAUAUUCCUGUACUUGGUGUUACUGCGAAGGGGGGACGGAGAAGGCUAUGUUAGCCGGGCGACGGUUGUCCCGGUUUAAGCAUGUAGGCUGGUUAUCCAGGCAAAUCCGGAUAAUCAAGGCUGAGGUGUGAUGACGAGGCACUACGGUGCUGAAGUAACAAAUGCCCUGCUUCCAGGAAAAGCCUCUAAGCAUCAGGUAACAUCAAAUCGUACCCCAAACCGACACAGGUGGUCAGGUAGAGAAUACCAAGGCGCUUGAGAGAACUCGGGUGAAGGAACUAGGCAAAAUGGUGCCGUAACUUCGGGAGAAGGCACGCUGGUGUGUAGGUGAAGUCCCUGCGGAUGGAGCUGAGACCAGUCGAAGAUACCAGCUGGCUGCAACUGUUUAUUAAAAACACAGCACUGUGCAAACACGAAAGUGGACGUAUACGGUGUGACGCCUGCCCGGUGCCGGAAGGUUAAUUGAUGGGGUUAUCCGUAAGGAGAAGCUCUUGAUCGAAGCCCCGGUAAACGGCGGCCGUAACUAUAACGGUCCUAAGGUAGCGAAAUUCCUUGUCGGGUAAGUUCCGACCUGCACGAAUGGCGUAAUGAUGGCCAGGCUGUCUCCACCCGAGACUCAGUGAAAUUGAACUCGCUGUGAAGAUGCAGUGUACCCGCGGCAAGACGGAAAGACCCCGUGAACCUUUACUAUAGCUUGACACUGAACAUUGAGCCUUGAUGUGUAGGAUAGGUGGGAGGCUUUGAAGCGUGGACGCCAGUCUGCGUGGAGCCAACCUUGAAAUACCACCCUUUAAUGUUUGAUGUUCUAACGUUGGCCCCUUACCGGGGUUGCGGACAGUGUCUGGUGGGUAGUUUGACUGGGGCGGUCUCCUCCCAAAGCGUAACGGAGGAGCACGAAGGUUAGCUAAUCCUGGUCGGACAUCAGGAGGUUAGUGCAAUGGCAUAAGCUAGCUUGACUGCGAGCGUGACGGCGCGAGCAGGUGCGAAAGCAGGUCAUAGUGAUCCGGUGGUUCUGAAUGGAAGGGCCAUCGCUCAACGGAUAAAAGGUACUCCGGGGAUAACAGGCUGAUACCGCCCAAGAGUUCAUAUCGACGGCGGUGUUUGGCACCUCGAUGUCGGCUCAUCACAUCCUGGGGCUGAAGUAGGUCCCAAGGGUAUGGCUGUUCGCCAUUUAAAGUGGUACGCGAGCUGGGUUUAGAACGUCGUGAGACAGUUCGGUCCCUAUCUGCCGUGGGCGCUGGAGAAUUGAGGGGGGCUGCUCCUAGUACGAGAGGACCGGAGUGGACGCAUCACUGGUGUUCGGGUUGUCAUGCCAAUGGCACUGCCCGGUAGCUAAAUGCGGAAGAGAUAAGUGCUGAAAGCAUCUAAGCACGAAACUUGCCCCGAGAUGAGUUCUCCCUGAGACUUUAAGUCUCCUGAAGGAACGUUAAAGACGAUGACGUUGAUAGGCCGGGUGUGUAAGCGCAGCGAUGCGUUGAGCUAACCGGUACUAAUGAACCGUGAGGCUUAACCU